CCCUUUGUACACACCGCCCGUCGCUCCUACCGAUUGAGUGAUCCGGUGAGCUGUCCGGACUGCGAUUAGUUCAGUUUCUGUUCUCUUCGCGGGAAGUUCUGCAAACCUUAUCACUUAGAGGAAGGAGAAGUCGUAACAAGGUUUCCGUAGGUGAACCUGCGGAAGGAUCAUUC
This 173-nucleotide non-coding RNA is filed under the name Perkinsus marinus ATCC 50983. Its description in RNAcentral is "Eukaryotic small subunit ribosomal RNA". It matches the Rfam family "Eukaryotic small subunit ribosomal RNA", at positions 1656 to 1831 of the family's 1831-position model. Lineage: Eukaryota; Perkinsozoa; Perkinsida; Perkinsidae. The record is from Rfam by way of RNAcentral.